Non-coding RNA from Podarcis lilfordi (Lilford's wall lizard), 75 nucleotides. The record is from the annotation of a GenBank genome assembly. NCBI's taxonomy places the organism in Eukaryota, Metazoa, Chordata, Lepidosauria, Squamata, Lacertidae.
GACCUGGACAGCUCAGUUGGUUAAAGCAUGAUGCUGAUAAUACCAAUAUUGCAGGUUCGAUCCCUGUAUGGGACA